AAACAGGCCCUUUUAAGGGCCACAGUCUAUGAUAAUUCCAAGGGGAU
Molecule: non-coding RNA, 47 nt
Organism: Oikopleura dioica
Lineage: Eukaryota; Metazoa; Chordata; Appendicularia; Copelata; Oikopleuridae
Source: Rfam